GAUGAACGCUGGCGGCGUGCCUAAUACAUGCAAGUCGAGCGAACGGACGAGAAGCUUGCUUCUCUGAUGUUAGCGGCGGACGGGUGAGUAGCACGUGGAUAACCUACCUAUAAGACUGGGAUAACUUCGGGAAACCGGAGCUAAUACCGGAUAAUAUUUUGAACCGCAUGGUUCAAAAGUGAAAGACGGUCUUGCUGUCACUUAUAGAUGGAUCCGCGCUGCAUUAGCUAGUUGGUAAGGUAACGGCUUACCAAGGCAACGAUGCAUAGCCGACCUGAGAGGGUGAUCGGCCACACUGGAACUGAGACACGGUCCAGACUCCUACGGGAGGCAGCAGUAGGGAAUCUUCCGCAAUGGGCGAAAGCCUGACGGAGCAACGCCGCGUGAGUGAUGAAGGUCUUCGGAUCGUAAAACUCUGUUAUUAGGGAAGAACAUAUGUGUAAGUAACUGUGCACAUCUUGACGGUACCUAAUCAGAAAGCCACGGCUAACUACGCG
RNAcentral lists this ribosomal RNA (497 nucleotides) under uncultured bacterium. Its description in RNAcentral is "partial 16S ribosomal RNA". It matches the Rfam family "Bacterial small subunit ribosomal RNA", at positions 28 to 507 of the family's 1533-position model. The record is from RNAcentral.